UACGGGGGUAGCGAGUGUUGUUCGGAUUUACUGGGCGUAAAGGGAGCGCAGGCGGCAAUGUAAGUCAGAAGUGAAAUGUUGGGGCUUAACCCCAAAUCUGCUUUUGAUACUGCAUUGCUAGAGUAUGCAAGAGGAGGAUGGAAUUCUAGGUGUAGCGGUGGAAUGUGUAGAUAUCUAGAAGAACACCGAUUGCGAAGGCAGUCCUCUGGUGCAAUACUGACGCUCAUGCUCGAAAGAUAGGGGAG
Molecule: ribosomal RNA, 245 nt
Filed under: uncultured bacterium
Lineage: Bacteria
Description: partial 16S ribosomal RNA
Rfam family: Bacterial small subunit ribosomal RNA
Source: RNAcentral